This 672-nucleotide ribosomal RNA is filed under the name Flavobacterium sp. Its description in RNAcentral is "bacterial SSU rRNA". It matches the Rfam family "Bacterial small subunit ribosomal RNA", at positions 60 to 733 of the family's 1533-position model. Lineage: Bacteria; Pseudomonadati; Bacteroidota; Flavobacteriia; Flavobacteriales; Flavobacteriaceae. The record is from RNAcentral.
AGUCGAGGGGUAGGGUUCUUCGGAGCUUGAGACCGGCGCACGGGUGCGUAACGCGUAUGCAAUCUACCUUUUACAGGGGGAUAGCCCAGAGAAAUUUGGAUUAAUACCCCAUAGUAUAGUGAGUUGGCAUCAACACACUAUUAAAGUCACAACGGUAAAAGAUGAGCAUGCGUCCCAUUAGCUAGAUGGUAAGGUAACGGCUUACCAUGGCUACGAUGGGUAGGGGUCCUGAGAGGGAGAUCCCCCACACUGGUACUGAGACACGGACCAGACUCCUACGGGAGGCAGCAGUGAGGAAUAUUGGACAAUGGGCGCAAGCCUGAUCCAGCCAUGCCGCGUGCAGGAUGACGGUCCUAUGGAUUGUAAACUGCUUUUAUACGAGAAGAAACACUCCUUCGUGAAGGAAUUUGACGGUAUCGUAAGAAUAAGGAUCGGCUAACUCCGUGCCAGCAGCCGCGGUAAUACGGAGGAUCCAAGCGUUAUCCGGAAUCAUUGGGUUUAAAGGGUCCGUAGGCGGUCUUGUAAGUCAGUGGUGAAAGCCCAUCGCUCAACGGUGGAACGGCCAUUGAUACUGCAGGACUUGAAUUACUAGGAAGUAACUAGAAUAUGUAGUGUAGCGGUGAAAUGCUUAGAGAUUACAUGGAAUACCAAUUGCGAAGGCAGGUUACUACU